This 162-nucleotide ribosomal RNA is filed under the name Agaricales sp. 3034. RNAcentral describes it as "5.8S ribosomal RNA". It matches the Rfam family "5.8S ribosomal RNA". From Rfam's summary of the family: 5.8S ribosomal RNA (5.8S rRNA) is a component of the large subunit of the eukaryotic ribosome. It is transcribed by RNA polymerase I as part of the 45S precursor that also contains 18S and 28S rRNA. Functionally, it is thought that 5.8S rRNA may be involved in ribosome translocation. Lineage: Eukaryota; Fungi; Basidiomycota; Agaricomycetes; Agaricales. The record is from RNAcentral.
UACAACUUUCAGCAACGGAUCUCUUGGCUCUCGCAUCGAUGAAGAACGCAGCGAAAUGCGAUAAGUAAUGUGAAUUGCAGAAUUCAGUGAAUCAUCGAAUCUUUGAACGCACCUUGCGCCCUUUGGUAUUCCGAAGGGCAUGCCUGUUUGAGUGUCAUUAAA